GACGAACGCUGGCGGCGUGCUUAACACAUGCAAGUCGAACGGAAAGGCCCUGCUUUUGUGGGGUGCUCGAGUGGCGAACGGGUGAGUAACACGUGAGUAACCUGCCCUUGACUUUGGGAUAACUUCAGGAAACUGGGGCUAAUACCGGAUAGGAGCUCCUGCUGCAUGGUGGGGGUUGGAAAGUUUCGGCGGUUGGGGAUGGACUCGCGGCUUAUCAGCUUGUUGGUGGGGUAGUGGCUUACCAAGGCUUUGACGGGUAGCCGGCCUGAGAGGGUGACCGGCACAAUGGGAAUGAAAAUAGGCCCCGGCGUCGAACGGGAGGCGGAGGGGGGAAAUCUGACAGAGGGGCGGGAGGCGUGGGGAGAAAGCCCCGUGGGAGGAAAGCGCACGUACGGUUUGAAAACCUUUUCCCACUGAGCGGAGGGGGGGGGGACGGUAGGGGAUAAAAAAGCACCGGCUAACUACGUG
This 468-nucleotide ribosomal RNA is filed under the name uncultured bacterium. RNAcentral's name for it is "partial 16S ribosomal RNA". It matches the Rfam family "Bacterial small subunit ribosomal RNA", at positions 28 to 507 of the family's 1533-position model. The record is from RNAcentral.